This 414-nucleotide ribosomal RNA is filed under the name uncultured soil bacterium. Its description in RNAcentral is "bacterial SSU rRNA". It matches the Rfam family "Bacterial small subunit ribosomal RNA", at positions 26 to 449 of the family's 1533-position model. The record is from RNAcentral.
AGAUUGAACGCUGGCGGCAUGCCUAACACAUGCAAGUCGAACGGGAGUAGCAAUACUCUAGUGGCGGACGGGUGAGGAAUACGUAGGAAUUUGCCCUUAAGUGGGGGAUAACCCGGGGAAACCCGGAUUAAUACCGCAUGACCUCGAAAGAGCAAAGUGGGGGAUCGCAAGACCUCACGCUUUUGGAGAAGCCUACGUCGGAUUAGCUAGUUGGCGAGGUAAUGGCUCACCAAGGCGACGAUCCGUAACUGGUCUGAGAGGAUGAUCAGUCACACCGGAACUGAGACACGGUCCGGACUCCUACGGGAGGCAGCGAGUGGGGAAUAGUUAGGACAAUGGGGCGCAAGCCUGAUCCAGCAAUGCCGCGUGUGUGAAGAGGUCCUUGGUUAGUAAGCUACUUUAAGGUUAGGGAAG